CCUACGGGUCGCAGCAGUAGGGAAUCUUCGGCAAUGGACGAAAGUCUGACCGAGCAACGCCGCGUGAGUGAAGAAGGUUUUCGGAUCGUAAAACUCUGCUGUUAGAGAAGAACAAGUAGGAGAGUAACUGCUCUUACCUUGACGGUAUCUAACCAGAAAGCCACGGCUAACUACGUGCCAGCAGCCGCGGUAAUACGUAGGUGGCAAGCGUUGUCCGGAUUUAUUGGGCGUAAAGCGAGCGCAGGCGGUCUUUUAAGUCUGAUGUGAAAGCCCUCGGCUCAACCGAGGAAGGUCAUUAGAAACUGGAGGACUUGAGUGCAGAAGAGGAGAGUGGAAUUCCGUGUGUAGCAGUGAAAUGCGUAGAUAUAUGGAGGAACACCAGUGGCGAAGGCGACUCUCUGGUCUGUAACUGACGCUGAGGCUCGAAAGCGUGGGGAGCAAACAGGAUUAGAUACCCCUAUAGUC
RNAcentral lists this ribosomal RNA (465 nucleotides) under uncultured bacterium. RNAcentral describes it as "bacterial SSU rRNA". It matches the Rfam family "Bacterial small subunit ribosomal RNA", at positions 338 to 795 of the family's 1533-position model. The record is from RNAcentral.